UACGUAGGGUGCGAGCGUUAAUCGGAAUUACUGGGCGUAAAGCGUGCGCAGGCGGUUUGGUAAGACAGAUGUGAAAUCCCCGGGCUUAACCUGGGAAUUGCAUUUGUGACUGCCCGGCUAGAGUGUGUCAGAGGGGGGUGGAAUUCCACGUGUAGCAGUGAAAUGCGUAGAUAUGUGGAGGAAUACCGAUGGCGAAGGCAGCCCCCUGGGAUAACACUGACGCUCAUGCACGAAAGCGUGGGGAGCAAACAGG
Molecule: ribosomal RNA, 253 nt
Filed under: uncultured bacterium
Lineage: Bacteria
Description: partial 16S ribosomal RNA
Rfam family: Bacterial small subunit ribosomal RNA
Source: RNAcentral